Molecule: unclassified non-coding RNA, 1575 nt
Filed under: Actinia tenebrosa (Australian red waratah sea anemone)
Lineage: Eukaryota; Metazoa; Cnidaria; Anthozoa; Actiniaria; Actiniidae
Description: ribosome biogenesis protein NOP53-like, transcript variant X2
Source: RNAcentral
AAAAUGGCGUCCGAAGUAAACGUUUUGAAGAAGAAGAAAUACAGUAAAAAAUCUAAACGCAACUGGCGAAAACAAACAGAUAUCAAGGAUGUAGAAGAGUUUCUAGAGGAAGUUAGACGAGAUGAACGAACUGGGGGUCCAGCAGCGGAUAAAGCUGAUGGAAGCCUUUUCUUUGUGGAUACAAUAAAACUCAAAACGCCAGAUGAAGAUAAGUCAGUAACCAAGAGAUCUAGAAAGAGAAAGCUUCUCAAGCAAGAUGAACUUCUUCUUCCCGAUACUAGAAUAAAACCAGUUGGUAGCAAAAAACCCAAAGUCAACAAAAAGAAAACUAAAAAAGGAAAAGAUUUUGACAGCGAAUCAUCAGACGAAGAGAUACCAGCAGACAAGAAUAGAAAUCAAGUGAAGUCAAAAGAAAAGAAAGAACAGAAAGAAAGUAGGGGCUAUUUCGACCUGUGGUCUACAGAAGACAAGCUUCAAGGUGACGAACAUUACUUGAAGAUCACAAGGAAAACAAAAAUAAAGGCUCCCAAAACAGUCAAAAGAAAAGUGACAGAAUUGCCUGCUGUAGAAGUAGCUGCACCAGGAGCAUCGUAUAACCCAACAUUUGAAGAACACCAGGAACUUCUGCAAAAAGCACAUGAAGUUGAAGUAAAAAAGAAUAAGAGAAUAGAAAAACUCAACAGACAGCUCCAAUGGCUCAGUAAGGAGGAAGCCUCUGAUUUGCCAACCUGGGAAGAAGAGAUGGGUCAAGGUCUGUUUGAUGAGAUAAAGAAUGACGAUGAUAAAGCACAUGAUGAUGAUGAUGAUAAUGAUGAUGAUGGUGUCAUAACAAUUAAAUCAGCUCAAAGAAAAACAAGACAACAAAGAAGAAAAGAAAAGGAAGAAAUGAAACAGCAAUUGGAACAAGAAGCUGAAAAGAAGUUAAAACUCAAAGAGAAUGAGGUUUUCAGAAUUAAAUCACUGAAAAAGGAAAUUGAAGCGAAGGAAAAGGAAAUCAAGCAAAAGUUACAAAAGAAAGAAGAACUAAAGGAGGGAGAGCUAAAGAAACCCAAACGACUUGGACGUCAUGGAUUCGAAGAAGCAGCCGUAGAAAUCCAGCUAAGUGACGAAAUCACAGGCAACCUGCGGUCCAUAAAACCAGAGGGAAAUCUAUUUGCAGACAGAUUCAAAAGCCUACAGAAAAGAAAUUUGAUUGAGCCCCGUAAACCAGUUCUACCUCAUCGUAAGUAUGCUAAGAAGGAAUACGUGAAGAAAUCCUACGAUAAGCCGUGUGUCAAGGAAAUCGCUGCAGAAGGAAAGUGACCCCCUACGACAAGAUCACGACGAGACUCAAGGAAAUAUGAUCAGCUUCCACUCUCAAUCCCACCUUAAUUUCUUGAUAACAGGUUUCAAAGUCCUGUUGCGACGAUGAAAACCACGCUGCACGUUCCUACAAUCUGCUUAGCUAAUAAAUUAUUGAUGAUUUGAAUUCUAGUUAAUGAAAAUAGCAUAUAAAUGUGGCUAUCCUAACGAGCCUAAUACAUCUAAUCUUGUAGAACAAAACUUUGACAUGAAAUAAAAGAUACUUGAGCGUUA